Molecule: long non-coding RNA, 250 nt
Filed under: Polistes fuscatus (common paper wasp)
Lineage: Eukaryota; Metazoa; Arthropoda; Insecta; Hymenoptera; Vespidae
Description: uncharacterized LOC122517432
Source: RNAcentral
GAAUAAGAAGAAGAAGAAGAAGAAGAAUAUCGAGAGUAGGAUAAUUUCUUCUUAUAAUGAUGUUACUCUCUUCUUUGUUAAUCUAAUCUUGAUCAUGGUAUCACAAGCUAAUUAGAUUAUUUCCUGGCACUUCUCGUUCAACGUAUUAUAAAAAGCGUUCUUCUCUCUAAAGACAACUGAGAAAAGUAACAAAACGACGAAAAAGAAUAAGAAGAAGAAGAAGAAGAAGAAGGAAGGAAAGGAAAGGAAA